CAGGUAACCUCCUACCGUAUAGAUGCGUCCUUUGUGUUGCUCACACAGAUUGUCUGAUUGAAGGCGGGAGCAUGGCGCCGCGGCUUUUAUCUCAAGACCAAACUUCUUAUUUACGGUCAAGCUUGAUUCAUUAUUACAAUAGUACAAAGGUUCAACAACCGUUCUCUUGGUUCUUGCAUCGGUUUUGAACGAAACGAAGGCCUACGUCAUGAAUUGCAGAUAUUGCUGAAUUUCAGGUCUUUGAACGCACAUUGCGCCCUUUGGUAUUCCAAAGGGCAUGGCUGUUUGAGCGUCACUUCUCCCUGUUCCCCCGGGUUUGGUGUUGAGCUUUUGCCUAGGUUUGAUUGAAAUAAUUUUGAGGUUAACUCAUUUAACACCCCUUGGUGUUACCCAGAAACUCUAAUUUUCUCAAGGCCAUCCUAAAUUAUUUUAAACCUUUGAACUUUAAUAAGGUAAGACAACCCGCGGAACUUGAGGAUGUCAAUACAGGGAGGGAAAAAACACCCACCAAUUAAUCUGAAUGUAUAGGUGAAUGAAGCGAUACGAACCGAACUGACACAUCUAAUGCACGAGGAAAAAAACUCAACCAACUCACUAUCAUUAACUGAAUCCUUAAGGUUAGUGAGGCGGAACCAGCUGAACUGAUAAAUCUAAGUACCCAAAACAAAAACAAACAAACCA
RNAcentral lists this ribosomal RNA (681 nucleotides) under [Candida] sp. VVT-2012. Its description in RNAcentral is "eukaryotic LSU rRNA". The stretch from base 147 to 295 matches the Rfam family "5.8S ribosomal RNA". The record is from RNAcentral. Lineage: Eukaryota; Fungi; Ascomycota; Saccharomycetes; Saccharomycetales.